Suncus etruscus (white-toothed pygmy shrew) is the source of this 129-nucleotide small nucleolar RNA. The record is from RefSeq and is a predicted model, not a curated record. NCBI's taxonomy places the organism in Eukaryota, Metazoa, Chordata, Mammalia, Eulipotyphla, Soricidae.
AUGUAAAAAAUGCCUAUGCUUUAGGACGCUGCAUAAGUUAGGGAAACCAGUUUUGCUACAGUAACUACAGUGACAGAAAUAUAUUAAUCAGAUGCUACUGAAGAUGCUUAUUUCAAUCCUAUCACAGGG